GACGGGAGAGUAACACGUGGGAACGCGCCCUUCGGUCCGGGAUAACCCAGGGAAACUUGGGCUAAUACCGGAUACGCCCUUACGGGGAAAGAUUUAUUGCCGAAGGAACGGCCCGCGUCCGAUUAGCUAGUUGGUGAGGUAACGGCUCACCAAGGCGACGAUCGGUAGCUGGUCUGAGAGGAUGACCAGCCUCACUGGGACUGAGACACGGCCCAGACUCCUACGGGAGGCAGCAGUGGGGAAUAUUGGACAAUGGGCGCAAGCCUGAUCCAGCCAUGCCGCGUGGGUGAUGAAGGCCCUAGGGUUGUAAAGCCCUUUCAGCGGGGAAGAUAAUGACGGUACCCGCAGAAGAAGCCCCGGCUAACUUCGUGCCAGCAGCCGCGGUAAUACGAAGGGGGCUAGCGUUGCUCGGAAUUACUGGGCGUAAAGCGCACGUAGGCGGCUUUCUAAGUCGGGGGUGAAAUCCUGGAGCUCAACUCCAGAACUGCCUUCGAUACUGGAAAGCUCGAGUCCGGGAGAGGUGAGUGGAACUGCGAGUGUAGAGGUGAAAUUCGUAGAUAUUCGCAAGAACACCAGUGGCGAAGGCGGCUCACUGGCCCGGUACUGACGCUGAGGUGCGAAAGCGU
RNAcentral lists this ribosomal RNA (626 nucleotides) under uncultured bacterium. RNAcentral's name for it is "bacterial SSU rRNA". It matches the Rfam family "Bacterial small subunit ribosomal RNA", at positions 100 to 762 of the family's 1533-position model. The record is from RNAcentral.